Prunus avium (sweet cherry) is the source of this 282-nucleotide non-coding RNA. The record is from RefSeq and is a predicted model, not a curated record. NCBI's taxonomy places the organism in Eukaryota, Viridiplantae, Streptophyta, Magnoliopsida, Rosales, Rosaceae.
AAAAAUGCAAAGCCCUUAUCCAAUUUUCCAAAACCCUGAGCUCCCCCUCACUUCCCCUCUCGGGUCUUACUUACACAGCGGGUUGAGCCAAAGAGCUCCAAACUUUAAAUUCCCAGCAACGAUUCAUACCUUCAUCUAUACCCAGAAUUCAGCAGCUGAACCAGCUCAAUAACUCCCUUUUCAAAUCUUGCCAUAUAGCGAUUUUGGUGAUAUUUAUGCUGCGGUUAAAGUGAAAUGGCAUCUAUAUCAGGAACUUGGCUGUAUCAAGAUAGAGGAUUGAAA